UCGGUCUCUGCAAUCUGAGGUUCUGUCCGGUCUCACCAGUCUCUGUAAAGUCUGAGGUCCUGUCUCACCAGUCUCUGCAGAGUCUGAGGUCCUGUCUCACCAGUCUCCGUAGAGUCUGAGGUCCUGUCUCACCAGUCUCUGCAGAGUCUGAGGUCCUGUCUCACCAGUCUCUGUAG
This is a long non-coding RNA of Anguilla rostrata (American eel), 176 nucleotides long. RefSeq lists it as uncharacterized. Lineage: Eukaryota; Metazoa; Chordata; Actinopteri; Anguilliformes; Anguillidae. The record is from RefSeq and is a predicted model, not a curated record. The transcript is spliced from 3 exons.